GCCCUUGCCGUGUAAAGAACGAACUCAUUCUGAAUCUGAGAAAAGAACGCCGUGUUCUUUGGGAGACCGGGUCCUCCGCCGGUUCCCAACCCGAAUUUGCUCUUCCUCUUGUGGUAUCUCACGUCGUGAUCUUGGUCGCGGGCUGGCGGCCACGGGGCAUUACACUCCCGCGCCGCCGCUCUCCUCCGGCGUGCAGCACUCCUCAUGACAGGACGCAAACGGCGUCAUCCACUCUAGGCAUCGAAGCUUCCUCAAAAUCACCUGUGCUGUCGAAUCCUUGGGGGGCAUUCCUCUCCAGAGGCAUAAGGUGUCCGAUGGAAUUGGAUUUCACCUCCAAUAAUUGAAUCGAGGACGCCGGCAUGGUAUUGGGCCACGGUCAUGGAUGAAACUGACACCGUACAGGCGCAGGUGAAGAGUAGAUAUCGCUGCAACUGAGAUCGAGUACACAUGCAGGAGUUGUUGUGUCAGUCUGUCAGAGUGUUGGUUUCGGGUCUAAUCUUCCACGGCGUCAUUGGUGUGGUAAUGAAGUUCAUUGCUAGUGCUGGUACCAUGGUGUGGAUAUCUAUCAUCGGGGAAUAGGGAUUCCCAGAUCAAUCCUGCUGCCUGACGCCUGUUCUGACUGACGAGCUUGACGUACUGCUAUAUAUAGGCAAUGAGCAGAUGCUCAGCAAAGUGCUAUGAAGCCUCCAUCUCCUGCCGCUGGCCUUGAUCUGAAACAUUCAGGCCCUUUUGCUGUAUAGGAGAGGCCAGGGCUAAAACCGGGAAGUAAACCAUGCAUGGAUCGUGGAACAGGUACAACUCGUCAAAUCUGGAGGUGUCAGUAUUUCAUAACUGUCAAUUUGAUCGAUGCAUAUCCUUGUAAGGUAUUUUUUCUUCGUUAUAGUUGUUGGAUGUUUUCAUCUUAGAAUCUCAGGUAAUGUUGUGCAAUGAUGCAUUAUUUUGUUGCAUGUGAGGCACUUGAGGAUUCCUUUUGUUAUCUGAUUGGUCUAUAUUACUUCAUGACGUAGUUGCAUACCUAUCUGUAUCCUAAACCAAGUUAUUACCAAUCAUAAUUUUCGUGUACUAGAGCUUUAUGUCCUUUAAAAAAAUGAACUGAUGUCUGUCAUACUUUCUUUUAGUUAUCCUAUCAUCAUGGUAUAAUGGCAUGCCCUUCAUGUUUUGGUUUGCUGGGGUGAUCACUUCCUACUCUUGAUUCCUUUCCUGCCCUUCCUUGCAUAAGAUGAGAUUUUCUGCUUGUCUGAGCAUUGAUCGGUCAAUAUGUACAACCAAAUGAGUGAUUUUAAUGGGUGUAUUAUCACAUACUACUGCAAACAGUAUAACUUAAAUAAGCCAAUGUCUGUACCUUUUUUUCAAGCAUUUAUUUGCGAGUACAAAUCUAAUGAUAUCCAAUUAUUCUCAUGUGGUUUUGUGGUUAAUUUGCUUCUUAGAGCUAUGAUGAUGGAAAGGUGUUAAGAAUAAAGUAAAAAAGUGAACUGGAUUAGCAGUCCCUGGUUUAUCGGUCACUGGAUGCUGAACAACCAAUUCAUCUUCGUUCUUAUGAUUGACUAUCAUUCAGCAGCUAGUUCAUAUUGUUGGUGAUGUGGUACAUCGGUGAUUCACUCACUUCAAUUGGACUGUAGCACAGUUUUUGCACCUAUGUGUUAUUAUUUACAAUUACACACAAUACAAGUUUUUUCUUCCUGUGAACAGGUGACUUUAUUACAUGCAACAUUUUCUUAUCGUAUCCUAUUGCAGGCUAGCUGUGGCAGUGAGGGCUUGUUUGGAUUGAACCCUGAAAAAGUGCUUGCGUCAAGCAGCGUCUCUAGGCCUUCAAUUUCGAGUGCCUGCAGUUUACUGUUCACUAAAAUUAGUGCUUUUAUUAGCUAAAAACUGAGAUUUACUGCUCACUAAUGAGAGAAUUUUCAAGAGCAGGGGAUGGCAAUUUUUGUGUCUCUGGUAGGAGCGGAGGCAAUGGCGUUCUUUGGUUGGAGCUGUAGCAAGAAUCGAUGGAGAAAGGUGAGGUCAUGGUGGUGAUGUUGGACCUUGAGAAUUCUGGAGAUGGAUUUAGCGUGCUGCUGCUACUGCUAUUGUGCUAUUGGAAGGAAGAAGGCUAGCUGGGUGGCUUUUCUGCUCCUGGUGCUUGCCGGCAAGAAGGAAGAGCUACUGGUUGGUGCUGCUUGGUGGAGACAAGAACAGAGGAGAAUUGAACUCCCAUAAAUGAUUCAUUUUGAUUAACUGGAGCUGGGAUCGGAGUAGUAAUAGCAUAACUUGAAGCUGGGAGUGGUACUAGCAUAACUUGAAGUUUUUUCAGCAAGAGUGGCAGCCUGGCAGUCGUGAAAUCACACCAGUACAUAUCUUUGACAAGCGUGAUGCUGUUGGAUUGUUGGUCAAUCCCGGGCGUCAUUGUUCUUACUUGGGUAUUUCUGAAGACUAUGGGUUGAGGAAGUUCCUUGGUGUCGGAGUUUAUGUGGUUGGCCUUAUACUAGUUGUAUUUUUCAGACGUCCAUAUGCCUCUGAUCCAGCUAGUAAGAAUAUGCUUCUCAUGGUGUGCACCGAGUGAUUGACUGUUAUUGGGUUUUGGAAGUUUGUGCUAUUUUUCUAACGGGUAUUGCAAAUGUGACAGAUUUUUGAAUUAGUAAUCUGUCAUCUUUUGGUGGCGACGUGUUUGUUGUUCUGUCUAAGAGUCGACAGAUUUCUUGUUGCAAAAUCUGUUGCCAGAUGUAUAGAGACCAUAAGUUUUGAAAUUUUA
Panicum virgatum (switchgrass) is the source of this 2728-nucleotide long non-coding RNA. RefSeq lists it as uncharacterized. The record is from RefSeq and is a predicted model, not a curated record. Lineage: Eukaryota; Viridiplantae; Streptophyta; Magnoliopsida; Poales; Poaceae. The transcript is spliced from 9 exons.